CCCCGCCUGGGGAGUACGACCGCUUGGUUAAAACUCAAAUGAAUUGACUGGGACCCGCACCCUUAGUGGAGCGUGUGGUUUAAUUCAAAGAUACCCGCAUAACCUUACCUACUCUUGACAUGUUCGUUACUACUCUAAGAGAUUAGAGUUUUCGGUUCGGCCGGACGAAACACAGGUGCUGCAUGGCUGUCGUCAGCUCGUGUCGUGAGAUGUUGGGUUAAGUCCCGCAACGAGCGCAACCCUCACUUUUAGUUGCCAUCAUUUAGUUGGGCACUCUGAAAGAACUGCCAGUGAUAAGCUGGAGGAAGGUGGGGAUGACGUCAAGUCCUCAUGGGCCUUAUGUGUUGGGCUACACACGUGCUACAAUGGCAUUUACAAUAGGAAGCAAGUUGGCGACAUUAAGCAAAUCCUAAAAAAAUGCCUCAGUUCGGAUUGUACUCUGCAACUCGAGUACAUGAAGCUGGAAUUACUAGUAAUCCCGGAUCAGCGCGCCGCGGUGAAUACGUUCCCGGGUCUUGUACACACCGCCCGUCACACCAUGGGAGUUGGUUCUACCUUAAGGCAAAGGUUAAUAUCUUUGACCACGGUAUAGUCAGCGACUGGGGUGAAGUCGUAACAAGGUAGCCGUAGGGGAACCUGAGGCUGGAUUACCUCCUUUCUAAGGAUGAUUAGAAAUUAUUUUUUAAUCUAAUUAUUUAACAGGCUAAUGUUGACCGUCUUCAUUUCUUUUCCUGAAAUAGUGUUUCUCUUUUCUGCAUAGGGCCGGUAGCUCAGUUGGUUAGAGCACGCCCUUGAUAAGGGGGGGGUAUCCCCUCCGUCUUCUUCUCGGCCCACCACUGUUAUGGGGGAUUAGUUCAGUAGGGAGAGGCCAUGAAAAGCAUUCAGGAGGUUAGCGGUUGGAUCCCGCUAUCCUCCACCAAGAAACACUUAGUUAUUUUAUUUUGUAAAUAAAUUUUAAUAUUAUCAAUAUGUAUAUCCGAACAUUAAUUAGUGAAAUUGAUGUUCAAACAAAAAUUUGAUUCUACACAGAAUUUUUUUCUG
RNAcentral lists this small RNA (1041 nucleotides) under uncultured Pelagibacterales bacterium. RNAcentral's name for it is "bacterial SSU rRNA". The stretch from base 1 to 658 matches the Rfam family "Bacterial small subunit ribosomal RNA", at positions 867 to 1533 of the family's 1533-position model. Lineage: Bacteria; Pseudomonadati; Pseudomonadota; Alphaproteobacteria; Candidatus Pelagibacterales. The record is from RNAcentral.